CUGUAGAUAUGUCAUAUCGGUUCUGGUAGGGAACAGCUAUCAGAGGUAAUGGGGAAAGAUUGGUGAAAAUCCAACACUGUCCCGCAACUGUGAUGAGAUAAAACAAAAGCUUUGUUUAUCUCUAAGUCAGGAUGCCCGCCGUAUUUUUUCUGAGUCA
Mastigocoleus testarum BC008 is the source of this 157-nucleotide regulatory RNA element. The record is from Rfam. NCBI's taxonomy places the organism in Bacteria, Bacillati, Cyanobacteriota, Cyanophyceae, Nostocales, Hapalosiphonaceae.